RNAcentral lists this ribosomal RNA (497 nucleotides) under uncultured bacterium. RNAcentral's name for it is "partial 16S ribosomal RNA". It matches the Rfam family "Bacterial small subunit ribosomal RNA", at positions 28 to 507 of the family's 1533-position model. The record is from RNAcentral.
GAUGAACGCUGGCGGCGUGCCUAAUACAUGCAAGUCGAGCGAACAGACGAGGAGCUUGCUCCUCUGACGUUAGCGGCGGACGGGUGAGUAACACGUGGAUAACCUACCUAUAAGACUGGGAUAACUUCGGGAAACCGGAGCUAAUACCGGAUAAUAUAUUGAACCGCAUGGAUCAAUAGUGAAAGACGGUUUUGCUGUCACUUAUAGAUGGAUCCGCGCCGCAUUAGCUAGUUGGUAAGGUAACGGCUUACCAAGGCAACGAUGCUUAGCCGACCUGAGAGGGUGAUCGGCCACACUGGAACUGAGACACGGUCCAGACUCCUACGGGAGGCAGCAGUAGGGAAUCUUCCGCAAUGGGCGAAAGCUUGACGGAGCAACGCCGCGUGAGUGAUGAAGGUCUUCGGAUCGUAAACCUCUGUUAUUAGGGAAGAACAAAUGUGUAAGUAACUAUGCACGUCUUGACGGUACCUAAUCAGAAAGCCACGGCUAACUACGUG